UGAACAUAACGUAUGCCCGUGGCGGCGGCGGGAACAGACGGCACCGUAACACGGGCCGACGACGCCAGAGGACCCCCUAACUCGGUUUCUCUGAUGUUUCUUCUGAGUAAUCAAGCUUUUAACUUGGAACUUUCGACUACGGAUCUCUUAACUAUGGCCUAGAUGCAAGAACGCAGCGAAAUGCGAUAAGUAGUGUGAAUUGCAGAAUUGAGUGCAUCAUCGAAUCCUUGAACGCGCAUUGCGCCCGCUAGUAUGCUGGCGGGCAUGCGCGUGCGAGCGUCAUUGGGACACUCAGGCCCCCGGGCGUGGCGUGGGGAUCGGCGGAAGCCCCGUGCGGGCACAACGCCGUCCCCAAAUACAGUGGCGGUCCCGCCGCAGCUGCAUUGCGUAGUCGCUAACAACUCGCACUGGAGAGCGGCGCGGCCACGCCGUAAACACCCAACUUCUGAAUGUGACCUCGAAUAAGGAUAAGAAAUCCCGCUGAACUUAGCAUAUCAAUAAGCGGAGGAAA
Molecule: ribosomal RNA, 511 nt
Filed under: Fusarium fusarioides
Lineage: Eukaryota; Fungi; Ascomycota; Sordariomycetes; Hypocreales; Nectriaceae
Description: eukaryotic LSU rRNA
Rfam family: 5.8S ribosomal RNA (bases 128-282)
Source: RNAcentral